Molecule: ribosomal RNA, 128 nt
Filed under: Fusarium sp.
Lineage: Eukaryota; Fungi; Ascomycota; Sordariomycetes; Hypocreales; Nectriaceae
Description: partial large subunit ribosomal RNA
Source: RNAcentral
AGCUCAAAUUUGAAAUCUGGCUCUCGGGCCCGAGUUGUAAUUUGUAGAGGAUGCUUUUGAUGCGGUGCCUUCCGAGUUCCCUGGAACGGGACGCCAUAGAGGGUGAGAGCCCCGUAACGUUCGAUGCC